AAGUCGUAAGUCAGAAAAACAUAUACACAAAAGGUCAGGUAACAUAUUUAUGCUCCGUGAAAAAACUUAUAUUCCGCCAUACUAUGUUGAAGUUUUAUAGGAGUUUCAUCUUAUCAGAGCCUGUUUAAUUAGUACCAUAACAAGAAAGGUGUAGGUAAAAGGACAUGCCUGUUUGGAUAAAUGUAUAUUAAGUUUAUAUUUAAACUUCAUUUAAAUAACUAGUAAAUUUUAUGAUCCAUGCAUUUGCCAUAAGGAUGUGUCCGUAGUGGCCAAAGCUUCGCAAUUGCGCAGUAUAUAAUGGCGGAAGAAUACCCGAAGUUUCUUCUCAAUAGUGGUAUAUAAUAUAGCUACCACUGUAACCAGUAAACCAUUGUUAUCUAAUAAAGGGUCAAUAAAGUGUCUUGUGUGGACCACACAUUAGAUUCAGUGAUAGUUAUAAGGAAUUCUGUCAAGUACAUGCAUACGCCAAUUGGAGUCCCAUCAUCAGAAUACCCACACACACCAUAUUGCAUGAUGAUAUAUGUUCAUGCCCUGACAUUGUUAAAUAUAAUAGACACCAGUAGUGUCUAUAUAACAAAAUGAAUAUAUUUUAUGUGACCUAUUUUUUUAUCUUUGUAUGUUGCAUGAUAUUUUUGUUGUGUUCUGUUCCAAUGUGCCAUUUUAUAUUAUGGUCAAUGGUGUGUAACUGUGUGAUUUUAUCCAUUUAACCAAAUUACUACUCUUUGGGAAAUAAUAUAUACAUACUUCACUACAUUGUGAGAAUAUGAUCCAAAGUGUACAGCAGGAAAUCAUGGUUUCAUCAAUGUGGAUUCCCCUUUAUAUUUAGAAGCUAUGAGUAGUAGAACUGCUAUGAGAUUUCAGUGUUCUCAAUAUCAUUUUGUUAUAUUAGAUUGAUUUGACAACUUGAAACCAGAAGUCAUGGGUUUCUUUCUUGCACAGACGCAAAUGUUUAGGUGAUCCACCAAAAUAUUUUUUAGGUCUAAGUUUUAUGGGACUGAAAAUAUUAAUCUUAUAAUUAUAUCUAUAGAUGCUGAUAUAUGUCUCGAUGUAAAAUUCAUCACUAUACAUUUCUGUUAAUCAGUUUUAAGGGUGUUCUACAAUUUUUGUGUUAAAUAUUUCAUGUUUAGUUUAUAUUGUACUAUACAAAUCCUAUUAAGUUUAAUAUAAAACUUAUUUGAAAAAUU
Molecule: long non-coding RNA, 1184 nt
Organism: Manduca sexta (tobacco hornworm)
Lineage: Eukaryota; Metazoa; Arthropoda; Insecta; Lepidoptera; Sphingidae
Exons: 2
Source: RefSeq, a predicted model, not a curated record